Molecule: ribosomal RNA, 304 nt
Filed under: uncultured bacterium
Lineage: Bacteria
Description: bacterial SSU rRNA
Rfam family: Bacterial small subunit ribosomal RNA
Source: RNAcentral
GGGUUAAGUCCCGCAACGAGCGCAACCCUUACCCUUAGUUGGUUUUCCCGAAAGGAUUACCCUCUAAGGGGACUGCCCCGGACAACGGGAGGAAGGUGGGGAUGACGUCAAGUCCGCAUGCUCCUUACGUCUAGGGCUACACACGUCCUACAAUGGGGUCGACAGUGGGAUGCAAAGCCGCGAGGUGGAGCCAAUCCCCAAACGGCCUCUCAGUUCGGAUAGUAGUCUGCAACUCGACUACUUGAAGUCGGAAUCGCUAGUAAUGGCGGAUCAGCAUGCCGCCGUGAAUACGUUCCCGGGUCUU